Molecule: long non-coding RNA, 663 nt
Organism: Carassius auratus (goldfish)
Lineage: Eukaryota; Metazoa; Chordata; Actinopteri; Cypriniformes; Cyprinidae
Exons: 2
Source: RefSeq, a predicted model, not a curated record
UGCCCCUUGGUCCCACCUAGCGAGGACCCCUAAGAUGGCGGCCAUCGCGAUGCCUGUGCGCAAGUCGCAACGGAUGCACUUGUCACGAAGGACACAAGACAGAAGCUCUGUCCCAGACGCUCUCGAGUUACGUUGAGACUGAGGAUUCCCCAAUCUUCCACAAUGGACUUCACAUAGGAUGAACUGUUUCCAGUUUCAGCAAAACAGCAAGAAUUUAUGAAUGGAUGACUGCACCUUAGCACUCUUCACUCCCACUGCAUGCCUCACCUGGGCCACAGAGAAAACAAUGUUGCUGCCUGUACAUGGCACAUUUAACCUCUAACCUUACAGCUGAAUCAAUGCAGUAACACUGUUAACUACCAAUGAUAUUGUACCAAAUGUUCAGACUGAAUAUACAGAGGAGAACUGGUCCCCAGUGUUUUUGGUUAGUCUGGUUUCUCCAAAGGUUUUUUUUACUCCAGUAUCGACAUCUUACAGUUUUUUCUUAAUUAACCCGUUGCCUUUGGCUUGCUUGCUGUAUGUAUGACGACUAAUGCAUUUAACACCAACUAUUAAAACAGUGAGGGUGUUUUUGACAACAUAGACACAAUAGUAUGUCUUUCUGUAAAGAUUCUUUGAAAAUGUUAUGCAUUUUGAAAAAUGUAUAAAUGUCUUACAUAGAUA